AAUGCCAGUCUCUGAGAACAAUAUCCAGCCUUGUACAACAUUGCUCGCGAUAAGAACAAUACUAUUGCGCAGGUGCUCAGCUCAUCCCCACCGAAUAUUUCGUUCAGGCGGGAUUUGGAUGGCGCCCGACUUAUGUCAUGGCAUAAUCUCUUAUCCCGUUUGGAUCUGAUUAACCUGACGCAAGGCCGUGAUGUGUUUCGCUGGAACCUUACUACAUCGGGGCCUUUCACGGUAGACUCUAUGUAUCGUGCGCUCACGCAUUCUAAGGUACCGGAGAGCAAUAACAAAAAAAUCUGGAAGGCAAAGAUUCCACUAAAAGUUAAAAUAUUCAUGUGGUACCUUCGUAGAGGUGUUGUGCUAACCAAGGACAACCUUGCACGACGCAACUGGCCAGGAAGUAAGAAGUGUUGUUUUUGUACUCAUAACGAGACAAUCAAAGACCUAUUUUUUCAAUGCAAGUUUGCGCGUUCUACGUGGUCAGUCAUCCAAAUAGCGUCAAAUUUGUAUCCGCCCACAAGUGUUGUCAAUAUUUUUGGUCAUUGGUUGGACGAUAUUUCAAAUAGGUUCAAAACGUAA
This 576-nucleotide ribosomal RNA is filed under the name Triticum aestivum (bread wheat). Its description in RNAcentral is "partial small subunit ribosomal RNA". Lineage: Eukaryota; Viridiplantae; Streptophyta; Magnoliopsida; Poales; Poaceae. The record is from RNAcentral.